AUUGAACGCUGGCGGCAGGCCUAACACAUGCAAGUCGAGCGGAGCGGCAGACGGGUGAGUAAUGCCUAGGAAUCUGCCUGGUCCGGGGGGAUAACGUCCGGAAACGGGCGCUAAUACCGCUUACUAUCAGAUGAGCCUCGGGCGGAUUAGCUAGUUGGGGGGGUAAAGGCCUGCCAAGGCGACGAUCCGUAACGGGUCUGAGAGGAUGAUCAGUCAAACUGGAACUGAGACACGGUCCAGACCCCUACGGGAGGCAGCAGUGGGGCAUAUUGGACAAUGGGCGAAAGCCUGAUCCAGCCAUGCCGCGUGUGUGAAGAAGUUCUUAGGAUGGUAAAGCACUUUAAGUUUGGAGGCCUUACCAACAGAAUAAUAACCGGCUAACUUCGUGCCAGCAGCCGCGGUAAUAC
This 407-nucleotide ribosomal RNA is filed under the name uncultured bacterium. RNAcentral's name for it is "partial 16S ribosomal RNA". It matches the Rfam family "Bacterial small subunit ribosomal RNA", at positions 30 to 526 of the family's 1533-position model. The record is from RNAcentral.